Molecule: ribosomal RNA, 348 nt
Filed under: uncultured bacterium
Lineage: Bacteria
Description: partial 16S ribosomal RNA
Rfam family: Bacterial small subunit ribosomal RNA
Source: RNAcentral
CCUACGGGAGGCUGCAGUGGGGAAUCUUGCGCAAUGGGCGAAAGCCUGACGCAGCGACGCCGCGUGAGGGAUGAAGGUCUUCGGAUCGUAAACCUCUGUCAGCAGGGAAGAACGGUCACUGUGCUAAUCAGCAGUGAAUUGACGGUACCUGCAAAGGAAGCACCGGCUAACUCCGUGCCAGCAGCCGCGGUAAUACGGAGGUUGCGAGCGUUAAUCGGAAUUACUGGGCGUAAAGCGCUCGUAGGCGGUAUGUCAAGUCAAAGGUGAAAUCCCCGCGCUUAACGGGGGUACUGCGUUGGAAACUGGGAAACUGGAGUGUGUGAGAGGAGAGUGGAAUUCCAGGUGUAG